RNAcentral lists this ribosomal RNA (303 nucleotides) under uncultured bacterium. Its description in RNAcentral is "partial 16S ribosomal RNA". It matches the Rfam family "Bacterial small subunit ribosomal RNA", at positions 507 to 808 of the family's 1533-position model. The record is from RNAcentral.
AGCAGUAGCCGCGGUAAUACGUAGGGGGCAAGCGUUGUCCGGAAUUAUUGGGCGUAAAGCGCGCGCAGGCGGUUUUUUAAGUCUGGUGUCUAAGUGCGGGGCUCAACCCCGUGACGCACUGGAAACUGGGAGACUUGAGUGCAGAAGAGGAGAGCGGAAUUCCACGUGUAGCGGUGAAAUGCGUAGAGAUGUGGAGGAACACCAGUGGCGAAGGCGGCUCUAUGGACUGUAACUGACGCUGAGGCGCGAAAGCGUGGGGAGCAAACAGGAUUAGAUACCCCGGUAGUCCCUGUCUCUUAUACA